This 484-nucleotide ribosomal RNA is filed under the name uncultured bacterium. RNAcentral describes it as "partial 16S ribosomal RNA". It matches the Rfam family "Bacterial small subunit ribosomal RNA", at positions 30 to 507 of the family's 1533-position model. The record is from RNAcentral.
AUUGAACGCUGGCGGCAGGCCUAACACAUGCAAGUCGAGCGGAUGAAGGGAGCUUGCUCCUGGAUUCAGCGGCGGACGGGUGAGUAAUGCCUAGGAAUCUGCCUGGUAGUGGGGGAUAACGUCCGGAAACGGGCGCUAAUACCGCAUACGUCCUGAGGGAGAAAGUGGGGGAUCUUCGGACCUCACGCUAUCAGAUGAGCCUAGGUCGGAUUAGCUAGUUGGUGGGGUAAAGGCCUACCAAGGCGACGAUCCGUAACUGGUCUGAGAGGAUGAUCAGUCACAUUGGAACUGAGACACGGUCCAGACUCCUACGGGAGGCAGCAGUGGGGAAUAUUGGACAAAGGGCGAAAGCCUGAUCCAGCCAUGCCGCGUGUGUGAAGAAGGUCUUCGGAUUGUAAAGCACUUUAAGUUGGGAGGAAGGGCAGUAAGUUAAUACCUUGCUGUUUUGACGUUACCAACAGAAUAAGCACCGGCUAACUUCGUG